GGGGACUGCAGAGAGCCUGGAGCCCUGUCACGUCCCUGCGCUUCCCCCCUUACUGCGUCAGAGUGCGUCAGAGCUGCGAGGGAACCUCACGAUCCGCAUGUGAAACCUGCUGCUUCCCAGAAAGGAGGUGGGGGCCAGAGGAGGCCGGGGACCUGCUGAGGCAGCACAGCCCCUCAGAGCAGGGGCAGGAAGGCAGGUCCCCUGAGUCCCAGGCUGCCUGUCCCGUGCCUGUCCACCCUCACAAGCACUGGCCUGUCACAUCCCAGAGAUGCCAGCCUGCACGUGAUGGUUAAUGCUGAGUAUCAACUUGAUUGGAUCGAAGGAUGCAAAGUAUUGUUCCUGGGUGUGUCUGUGAGGGUGUCGCCAAAGGAGGUUAACAUUUGAGCCAGUGGACUGGGAGAGGCAGACCCACCCUCAGCGUGGGCACCAUCUAAUCAGCUGCCAGCAUGGCUAGAAUAAGGCAGGCAGAAGAACAUGGAAGGACCUGACUUGCUGUCUCCCGGCCUUCAUCUUUCUCCCGUGCUGGAUGCUUCCUGCCCUCGAGCAUCGCACUCCAGGCUCUUCAGCCUUGGGACUCUUGGACCUUCAGCCACAGACUGAAGGCUGGACUGUUCGCUUCCCUACUUCUGAGACUUUGAAACUUGGACUGGCUUCCUUGCUCCUCAGCUUGCAGACGGCCUCUUGUGGGACCUCACCUUAUGAUUGUAAGAAUAAGGCUUUCUAAGAAGAUCAGAUGAUGAGGCUCUGAUGCCCUCUC
This 757-nucleotide long non-coding RNA is filed under the name Homo sapiens (human). Its description in RNAcentral is "HSALNT0145049". The record is from RNAcentral. Lineage: Eukaryota; Metazoa; Chordata; Mammalia; Primates; Hominidae.